This is a long non-coding RNA of Neofelis nebulosa (Clouded leopard), 2981 nucleotides long. RefSeq lists it as uncharacterized. The record is from RefSeq and is a predicted model, not a curated record. Lineage: Eukaryota; Metazoa; Chordata; Mammalia; Carnivora; Felidae. The transcript has 3 exons.
UGACAGAAGACAGCCUGAGGAGUUUAGCAAACAGGAACGUUUCUCAAGAACUUGAAAGCGUUGGAGGUCUUUCGAAAGGGCUAGUUGUACGCUGCCUGGAGGCUAAGAAAGUUUCACUUAGCAAAAUACAUCGUCCAACCAUGGUGUCUGGGUGAGGAAAGUGAACGAGCAAGAGUGAGUUCCGGUUACCUGUGUGGAGGCAUUAAUUUCAGCGGCUACUGCCCAGACUUUUAGAAGUUUGUCAGUUAUUACUGGUCAAGUUUUCGGUGGGUAUGAGCAACUAUCAACUACGAAGACUAUGGAACAACAACAACAACAAAAAGUCACAUCGAAUGUUUACUUCUUGCUCUGGAAGUUCAGAAAUCUUGUCUUACUUGUGAAACAGAGAAAGACAAAAUAAAAUUGACAAUGUAUAUAGAAUGGUUCUUUGUAACCCAACUUUCCGGGGGGUCAGAAAGAGCCGUAUAAAAUAUCUGAAGCUUCAUGAAGGUGCCAGGAGGGAAGAGGUAAAGGUUCUCACUUAGAGUGGAUAGUUGAUGCUCAACAGUUUGAACUUGACUUGAAGAUAAACCAAGAGCCUGCAACUGGGACAAGGCAUGUUUAUCUUUCGUGCAGCGGUUUGGAGGUGGAGGCAUUCCUGCAACAAUUGCCUGGCACAUUCUAGGCACAAAAUAUUUGUUGGUGACCCAGAACCACUGCCUCCAAAUCGACCUUCUCUCAAUUCACAGAUACUAUCAAAGGAGGAAAACCCUAGAACCCCAAGAGAAAUCCAUUUCUCUCCUCUUAAUCCCCAAGAGAUCAGUGUUUGCUAUUUCCAUGGCAACCAGAAGACGCAAAAUGGCCAAAACCUGAGAGCUACUUCAGAUGAAAGCCAGAAAAAAGAAAAUUAACAAGAGACAUGUUACAGACAGCAUGGAUGACAGUGUGGCCAGGUUUCUGAAAUUUGGGGAGAUUUUCUUAUUUCUUUCCUUGGAAGAAUGCAAUGCUGUCCAGAAUGUAGCAGUGGAGCUUCUUGCUGUGCUGCUAAAUGUUCAUUGAGUACUUCGUUUUAUUCUUUUCUUGAAAGGAGUGGAGGGACCCAUGGGCCUUGGCAGCAAUUAAGUGAAGGUAAGCUGUUGGAAAUUGCUCUCCUGGUAAGCCUUGAUGUUAACCUCAAUGAGGAGGCCAGUCUGGCUACGAUGCCCUUGUUCCCUUUCUUCCAUGGAGUGAACAAAUAUUUAUUGAGCACCUUCUAUUUUCUAGGUAAUCUAUUCCACACACAACGAAAUGAAAACUUACAACUCUGAUAAGGGCUCCUAGGAGAAGUCCCUGUAACUACUAGAGUGUGUAGUAAGCAGAGCUGACCUGUUAGAGCGGCCAGGCCCUCCUAAGGAAGUAUGAUUAAGCUGAGUAGGAGGAAACUGGGCCAUGGUUGCAGGGCCUGGGGAGGGAGAACAUUCCAGGCAGUGGGAACUCUUGGGCAAAGGCCCUUUGGAGGAAGUGAGCCUCAAGUGUUCGAGGAACUGAAAGCAGGCCUGAGCAGCCUGUGUUGGCAGAACCCCAGAGCGUGAGGGGAAUGAACUUGGGGCAAGGCCAGAUGGAGAUGUGAGCAGGAGUCAGGUCAUUCUCAGUGCAGAGCCUAGUCUUGCAGGGUGGGUUUGUUAGGGACUUUGGUGUCUAUCUCUCCUCAUUCCAGGGUGAACUCAAGCUGUAACAGGAAUGUAUGACAAGCCCUUCUUGUGUGUGAUCUGGGAAUGGCAGCUUCUGGUUUAUCUGAAAUCCGUCAGAAUAUUGCCAUACAUUCCAGAUGUGAACCACCAAGUUUCAAAGGAUUAUAAUUUUAUGAAAUACUUUAAACCUAAAUCACAUUCAAGAUAUUUUAUGUAUGAAGACUCAGGCACUUUGGAGCCAUCACCAUGAAUUUCACUUAUCAUCAUAUAUUAACCCCUCAGAAGCCAGAGUUUGACCAUCUAAUAACUUCCCCUGUAUCUGUGACCCACCUGGAAUCUGGGAAGUUCGCAAGAAGCCAAAAAAAUGUAACAAAUUUUAAAUACAUAUUUUUACCAGAGGGUAGGUCCUCAUUAAGAACUUAAUUGAUUAAUUUCAUUGUACACACAGUUCUAACGAGUAGGUUUUUUGGGUUCCAAGGGCACAGCAGAUAGGGAGCAAUAAUUUAGAAAGGGAGAAGGGAUGGGGUGGUAUAUGUAAAUAAUUAACAGGGAGCAGUACAAAUGUAGAGAAGGAGACCAAAAAAGAACCCCCCCCACCCCCAAACAAAACCAAACUCCUGAGACAAAAAACCCAAAAGAACUGAAAACUAUAUUAAAAAAAAAAAAAAAAGUAAGGAAGAAAGAGAAAGACUAAAAGCAAACUGGGGCUUUAAUUACAGACAAAUCUUCUUGCAUGCCUUAAGAUCUUGAGGGUAUUGUGUUUAUAAUAAGACUUAAUGCUUAAGAAGUCAGUCAUAUUUUAGAAGGAUUUCUGGGCCACAGAGUCAAGCUCUUAAAAAGGGUGUUGGUACUUAAGAAGUAGAUCUUCAGUCAUUGGGGAAAUUGUUGAGGAUGGUUCUUACCAAGGUUCUGUGUAACCACGGGUUUACUGUAGUAUGGUUCUAUGGAUGUGUUAAUACAGAUUUUGGGCUGAGAAAAUAUGUGACAUACCAGCUCUUGCUGAAACUGUUUCAUUUUCACAAGCCCUCAAAAUCUGGGUUUGAAGAAAAUCAUUGGAAGUGACGCUUUUCAUAUGUGAAUUGUCAUGGUGCUAUUCUUGACAGUGAAUGAGUUCUUGAAUAUUUAAAAAUAUUGUAGGUGAUACAAUGUGCUCCAUAAAUACAUCUUAAAGUUUGGCUUUCACAUUUUUAACUUUAAUUUUCAUGCUACCUCUUAAAUGCAAAUAAUCUUUCUCCAGGCAUAAGGUGCUCUCAAAAGUUAUGUGGUUGUUGGAAUUGUAUGUUUUCACUUCCUCCAGAUGGGAAUGAGAAUGAAUAAAAAACAGUCCGAACA